Molecule: ribosomal RNA, 465 nt
Filed under: Vreelandella stevensii
Lineage: Bacteria; Pseudomonadati; Pseudomonadota; Gammaproteobacteria; Oceanospirillales; Halomonadaceae
Description: partial 16S ribosomal RNA
Rfam family: Bacterial small subunit ribosomal RNA
Source: RNAcentral
CCUACGGGGGGCUGCAGUGGGGAAUAUUGGACAAUGGGGGCAACCCUGAUCCAGCCAUGCCGCGUGUGUGAAGAAGGCCCUCGGGUUGUAAAGCACUUUCAGUGAGGAAGAACGCCUGGUGGUUAAUACCCAUCAGGAAAGACAUCACUCACAGAAGAAGCACCGGCUAACUCCGUGCCAGCAGCCGCGGUAAUAGGGAGGGUGCGAGCGUUAAUCGGAAUUACUGGGCGUAAAGCGCGCGUAGGUGGCUUGAUAAGCCGGUUGUGAAAGCCCCGGGCUCAACCUGGGAACGGCAUCCGGAACUGUCAAGCUAGAGUGCAGGAGAGGAAGGUAGAAUUCCCGGUGUAGCGGUGAAAUGCGUAGAGAUCGGGAGGAAUACCAGUGGCGAAGGCGGCCUUCUGGACUGACACUGACACUGAGGUGCGAAAGCGUGGGUAGCAAACAGGAUUAGAUACCCCUGUAGUC